AUGUUGGGUGUUGCGACCUUUGAGAUUGCGCUAAAAGUGAAGGAAGGCAGCACGGAGUCUAGGGAUAAAGUUUUAAGCAUCUUGGAUGUUCCUCAUGACAAUGUUAACUAUUUGGAGCUUUCCUGCGCAACAGAUAAGAAAUACAUCAGCAAGCUCAGCACACUGGAGUUUACAAUGAGUCAGAUUGCUCGCUCUGUGGAGGCGACAAUCAGCGUGCAAAUGGUUGAUGGGUCAUCAUGGCCAGACGGUCUCCGCGGUGAAUUUUCCGUGUGCACCACCAGUAUGUCCGACAGGAAAGUAAUUUUACUCGAUUUGGGAAGCGAUAUGGAAGUGCCGGUUGAUGCGAAUGGCGUGGCCCAGCUAUCGAGUUGGACGGUGCGGUUAACGCGUGUACCUACAUGGGAGCUUAGUCACAACUUUCCCAUGGUUUCCAUGCAGAGGCAUCAUCUAUUAUGGAGUCUGUGUGCAGUCAUGAUUCCUCCUCACGACGAGAGGUGUUGGCCAGCCUCCCCAUGGAUCUGCUCGAUACUGAGCAUGAGGUGGUCCACCUCUUGUCGGAUCUCGCCUAUGGAAGACAGGCUGCAUAGAUCCCAAUGGGGCCAGCGGAGGAGCGGCACCUUCCUUUCUCAAAAUGGUAGCAGCCGGAGCUUCGCCUUUGCGAAAGCGCGCAUGUUCAGCACAUGUUUUCUGGGGCGAAGGUGA
This 702-nucleotide ribosomal RNA is filed under the name Triticum aestivum (bread wheat). Its description in RNAcentral is "partial small subunit ribosomal RNA". Lineage: Eukaryota; Viridiplantae; Streptophyta; Magnoliopsida; Poales; Poaceae. The record is from RNAcentral.